Long non-coding RNA from Microcebus murinus (gray mouse lemur), 476 nucleotides. The record is from Ensembl. Lineage: Eukaryota; Metazoa; Chordata; Mammalia; Primates; Cheirogaleidae.
GCUGAAUAAAAGAACAUCCAGCUGUAUUAUUUACGGGGCCCCCAGGUCAAGGAAAGUAAGAAGAUACUUCCUUUACUGAAGACAUUGAACACUAUUUUCAAUCUAAAUUGGUAUUAUAGAAGACUGAAGAAAAAUGGCGGAGUAAAGGUGACUUCCUGGAUUCCUGCUCCCAGAGAAAGAGGCAUAGGUCUCCGUCUCCUACACAUGAGUGGAUCGCUCCCCCACAAGAACAGCAUUGUGAAUCAGCACAGAAUCAGCGUGGGACAUACAGAACAGAAAGGAAAAAAAGGUAAAUGGGAGACAGGAUUGUGAACUCUGGAGUGUGUGAAAGAAACAAUAGAGAAUAGAGUGAGAGAUGGCUGUUCCCUCCAGGCCAGCGAGUGAAGUGGGAUCAGACCCACAGGAGAACAUCUUGCUUCCCCACUGCCCUUCACACCCACUGAGACAGGGACCUGGCCUGAAGUAGGUGCAAAAUC